RNAcentral lists this long non-coding RNA (976 nucleotides) under Fukomys damarensis (Damara mole-rat). RNAcentral describes it as "lncRNA (ENSFDAG00000022755.1)". The record is from RNAcentral. Lineage: Eukaryota; Metazoa; Chordata; Mammalia; Rodentia; Bathyergidae.
AAAUAAUACUGUGUAUCUCUGAGAUAUAUAUGUGUGAAAAUAGAUUUCCAAGUCAAUAUGUUUGGGUGAGUCACCACUGAGAUGUUAUCUGUCUGUAGGAUAGUUUAAUUGACUGUGUAAGCUGUGUCCAAAAUUUUUAGUGAUUAACUUUCCAGUGUAUAAUUUCAAUCUGAAAGCCCCAUUACAAAGCAACAAAACUGACCAGUAGCAUUAUUCAAUACUGACAUUAGCAGUGCACUUAAUUCUUGAAGUUUGUUUACUAGGCAAUGUAGGCUGUGUUCCUGAUAAACAUCAGCAUAGCCCAGUCUCUGUUGUAGCUUACAGCUCAGCAUUGGAGGAGAGGAGAGCUGAACUUGUGGACAAAAACAAUGUUGUGGUGAAAUAGCAAGGAUUCAGCAAAGAGCUGUAUACUAAAUAAUAAGGGAGGUACCAGGAGAAUGAGUUCAGCAUAGGGAUGGUGGGGAAAGGCUUUACAGAAGAUAAAGUAAACACUGGCUCUGUUGGAAUAAAUGCAGUUUCUAGCUGCAUUUGCAUGGGCAUGACAUAACACAGUAAACUCAGCACUCCGUAAAUACUUGUGCAAUUGAAAUUUAUUAUAAAAUAUACCUGGGUUUGUUUUAGUCUGAUAAGGUAAGACACACUGACGCGGAAGUGACUCUCAUGAACCACAUUUUCAUGCUCAGGAACCCUAGAAACAACAUAUCACCAGAACUACAUGGGGAGCGCCAGGGCUGGUCAGAAGGCAGGAGCCGAGAAAAGCCUAACCAACAUGUUUACUUUGAAGUGGAAGAACUUGGCCUACUGGGCCUGGCCUAUGAUGGUGCCCUCCAAGGACUCGGCUCUCUCCUAUGUUGCCCCAUGAUCUGUGUAGUGAUUCUUUUCCGGCAGCCCCAGAGCUUUUCAUUGCUCUGGGGAGUAGCAAGAGAAAGACAUUCUCCAAUGGGGAACAUUUAAAGGUGGUAAAAUUACUGGCAGG